Molecule: ribosomal RNA, 572 nt
Filed under: uncultured delta proteobacterium
Lineage: Bacteria; Deltaproteobacteria
Description: bacterial SSU rRNA
Rfam family: Bacterial small subunit ribosomal RNA
Source: RNAcentral
UGGGGAAUAUUGGACAAUGGGCGCAAGCCUGAUCCAGCAAUGCCGCGUGUGUGAAGAAGGCCUGCGGGUUGUAAAGCGCUUUCAGUAGAGAAGAAAAGUUUAGGGUUAAUACCCCUGAAUCUUGACGUUACCUACAGAAGAAGCUCCGGCUAACUCCGUGCCAGCAGCCGCGGUAAUACGGAGGGAGCGAGCGUUAAUCGGAAUUACUGGGCGUAAAGCGCGCGUAGGCGGCUUUGUAAGUCGGAUGUGAAAGCCCUGGGCUCAACCUGGGAAUUGCAUUCGAUACUGCAGAGCUAGAGUAUGGUAGAGGGAAGUGGAAUUUCCGGUGUAGCGGUGAAAUGCGUAGAUAUCGGAAGGAACACCAGUGGCGAAGGCGACUUCCUGGGCCAAUACUGACGCUGAGGCGCGAAGGCGUGGGGAGCAAACAGGAUUAGAUACCCUGGUAGUCCACGCAGUAAACGGUGAUCACUAGGUGUAGCGGGUAUUGACCCCUGCUGUGCCGCAGCAAACGCAUUAAGUGAUCCGCCUGGGGAGUACGACCGCAAGGUUAAAACUCAAAGGAAUUGACGGAA